CAAAGAUUAAGCCAUGCAAGUCUAAGUUUAAGCACCUAAACGGCGAAACUGCGAAUGGCUCAUUAAAUCAGUUAUCGUAUAUUUGAUAGUACCUACUACAUGGAUAACCGUGGUAAUUCUAGAGCUAAUACAUGCUUAAAAUCCCGACUUCGGAAGGGAUGUAUUUAUUAGAUUAAAAACCAAUGCCCUUCGGGGCUCACUGGUGAUUCAUAAUAACUUCUCGAAUCGCAUGGCCUUGUGCCGGCGAUGGUUCAUUCAAAUUUCUGCCCUAUCAACUUUCGACGGCUGGGUCUUGGCCAGCCGUGGUUACAACGGGUAACGGAGGGUUAGGGCUUGACCCCGGAGAAGGAGCCUGAGAAACGGCUACUACAUCCAAGGAAGGCAGCAGGCGCGCAAAUUACCCAAUCCCGACUCGGGGAGGUAGUGACAAUAAAUACUGAUACAGGGCUCUUUUGGGUCUUGUAAUUGGAAUGAGUACAAUUUAAAUCCCUUAACGAGGAACAAUUGGAGGGCAAGUCUGGUGCCAGCAGCCGCGGUAAUUCCAGCUCCAAUAGCGUAUAUUAAAGUUGUUGCAGUUAAAAAGCUCGUAGUUGAACCUUGGGCCUGGCUGGCCGGUCUGCCUCACCGCAUGCACUGGUCCGGCCGGGCCUUUCCCUCUGGGGAGCCGCAUGCCCUUCACUGGGUGUGUCGGGGAACCAGGACUUUUACUGUGAAAAAAUUAGAGUGUUCAAAGCAGGCAUAUGCUCGAAUACAUUAGCAUGGAAUAAUAGAAUAGGACGUCGCGGUUCUAUUUUGUUGGUUUCUAGGACCGCCGUAAUGAUUAAUAGGGACAGUCGGGGGCAUCAGUAUUCAAUCGUCAGAGGUGAAAUUCUUGGAUCGAUUGAAGACUAACUACUGCGAAAGCAUUUGCCAAGGAUGUUUUCAUUAAUCAGGAACGAAAGUUAGGGGAUCGAAAACGAUCAGAUACCGUUGUAGUCUUAACCAUAAACUAUGCCGACUAGGGAUCGGGCGGUGUUAUUUCUUGACCCGCUCGGCACCUUACACGAAAGUAAAGUUUUUGGGU
This 1063-nucleotide ribosomal RNA is filed under the name Diaporthe foeniculina. RNAcentral's name for it is "SSU rRNA". It matches the Rfam family "Eukaryotic small subunit ribosomal RNA", at positions 38 to 1112 of the family's 1831-position model. Lineage: Eukaryota; Fungi; Ascomycota; Sordariomycetes; Diaporthales; Diaporthaceae. The record is from RNAcentral.